UACGGAGGAUCCAAGCGUUAUCCGGAUUUAUUGGGUUUAAAGGGUGCGUAGGCGGAUUGAUAAGUUAGAGGUGAAAUGUCCGAGCUCAACUCGGGAACUGCCUCUAAUACUGUUGAUCUAGAGAGUAGAUGCGGUAGGCGGAAUGUAUGGUGUAGCGGUGAAAUGCUUAGAGAUCAUACAGAACACCGAUUGCGAAGGCAGCUUACCAAUCUAUAUCUGACGCUGAGGCGCGAAAGCGUGGGGAGCAAACAGG
RNAcentral lists this ribosomal RNA (253 nucleotides) under uncultured bacterium. RNAcentral describes it as "partial 16S ribosomal RNA". It matches the Rfam family "Bacterial small subunit ribosomal RNA", at positions 524 to 776 of the family's 1533-position model. The record is from RNAcentral.